CCAAUAGCGUAUAUUAAAGUUGUUGCAGUUAAAAAGCUCGUAGUUGAAUUUCGGGGUUCAUCCGUUGGUCGGGCUUUUUGGUCUGUACUGGCGUGAUGGAUUCCUACCUUCUGAAUAACCAGCAUGUCAUUAAUUUGGUGCGCUGGGGAAGCAGGACUGUUACCUUGAAAAAAUUAGAGUGCUUAAAGCAGGCUAUCGCCUGAAUACAUUAGCAUGGAAUAAUGAAAUAGGACGGCAUGGUUCUAUUUUGUUGGUUUCUAGGAUCACCGUAAUGAUUAAUAGGGAUAGUUGGGGGCAUUAGUAUUCAAUUGUCAGAGGUGAAAUUCUUGGAUUUAUUGAAGACUAACUUCUGCGAAAGCAUUUGCCAAGGAUGUUUUCAUUAAUCAAGAACGAAAGUUAGGGGAUCGAAGACGAUCAGAUACCGUCGUAGACUUAACCAUAAACUAUGCCGACUAGGGAUCGGACGAUGUUAAUUUUUUAAUGACUCGUUCGGCGCCUUACG
RNAcentral lists this ribosomal RNA (502 nucleotides) under uncultured Glomeromycotina. RNAcentral describes it as "partial small subunit ribosomal RNA". It matches the Rfam family "Eukaryotic small subunit ribosomal RNA", at positions 591 to 1092 of the family's 1831-position model. Lineage: Eukaryota; Fungi; Glomeromycota. The record is from RNAcentral.